This 1064-nucleotide long non-coding RNA is filed under the name Salvator merianae (Argentine black and white tegu). RNAcentral describes it as "lncRNA (ENSSMRG00000008259.1)". The record is from RNAcentral. Lineage: Eukaryota; Metazoa; Chordata; Lepidosauria; Squamata; Teiidae.
ACCGUGUCCGCACUUGCCCACGGGGGCUUCUGGAGUCCACUUCUGAACAGAGGAGGAGGAAGCAGUUGCAACGAGGCAGUUUUGUAUGUGCAAACGGCAGGCGCAGAGCCCUUCGUGAACAAGUGUACAAAUGGCUGUGCAAGGCCAAAUGGGAAUGCCACCCACCUCUUGUGCCACAUUUAUACAACUCAUGGGAAGUGAGAAGAAGUUCCAACAGCAUCUUCUAGACACAGGAACUGAACUGUGGACUCCAGAGGCUCCUGAACUAUAACCCUUACCCGUAACUUUAAACCCUAACCCUAAAUCUUUAAUCCUAAAUCCUUAACCCUAACCCUAAUCCUAAAUCCUAACCCUAAACCCUUAACGCUAACCCUAAACCCUACCCCUAAAUCCUUAAUCCUUAACCCUAACUCCUAAACUGUAACCCUAACCUGAAAUCCUAACCCUAAACCCUACCCCUAAAUUCUAAAACCCUAACCCUAAAUCCUAAUCCUAACCCUAAAUCUUUAGCCUAACCGUAAAUCCUGAACCUAACCGUAAAUCCUAACCAUAAAUCCUUAAUCCUAUCCCCUAACCCUAAAUUCUAAUCCCUAAUCACUCCAGGCUAGGCACAGAAGAGCACCUCUGGCCUAGAUGCGGAAUGCCAUUAGAAAUAUCUGCAUAAAAUGUUUAACAGAGGCAAGAACAGCAGGAGGAAGGGGUGUUAGUGGCCCCCAUCCGGCGUGGCACUCCACUUUGNAAGUCGUCCGGUGGGCAGCAUUCAAGGAAGGUGACAAGUUUCCUGAUUCUGCUCUUUCGUGGGCAUAAUAUAUGCCAGAAGACUGUAGCAGAGACUGGGGGAAGAUAAGGAUGNGACCACACAAAGCAUCGCUCACCCAAAAAAUUCUAGGGCUCCAGAUGCAGCAUGCAAAUGGGCUUCAGGAUCAAGUCCAGGAUGCCAGCCUUGGACCCUACAGNGCUGCUUUUCAAUCCCAGUGUCGGGGCGAUGGCCAACCCACAAUGGACUUGGCCUAAUUCACUUGCCAGGUGAGCUCCCCCAACCCAUCCCUCUUUACUCCUUGGCU